RNAcentral lists this long non-coding RNA (783 nucleotides) under Homo sapiens (human). RNAcentral describes it as "HSALNT0200200". Lineage: Eukaryota; Metazoa; Chordata; Mammalia; Primates; Hominidae. The record is from RNAcentral.
CUGGAGUACAGGGGCGCUGGAACCAGCCAGCGAACUCCCUGCAGGCCCCGCGGCACUUUCGGGGGCGGGGGAUGGUGCCUGCGAUCCCCAAAACCCCAAAGGGCGUUUUUUACAGUGCUCUUUUAGCUCUGCUGACCGCGGAUGGCUUAAGUGUUAACAGCUCAGUGGGCCCUUUGCCUUUUCUCAUGAGUCGGCUGCCCUGUGCCAGCAAGGGCAAAGGGCCAGUGUAACAGCCUUUUGUAUCUGCACUCGUGGCUCCUGAGCUCCUGUUCGGCACACAGGAAAAAUGAGGUCGCACCAACAAACUGAAGGAUGGUAAAUGUUGAGGAUUUUAUUGCCAAUGAAAGCGGCUGUCACUGGGAGCUGAAAAGGUAAUGGAAAGCUGAAAAGCGGAUAAGGUGGGUAGGUACCUGAAGUCUGGCCAUCUACGGCAGCUGGAUUCUUCUCCAAAGUUAUACUGUCAAGCUGUCCCUCUGAAGCCAAGCCACUUCUCUUUGACAUCCAGCCGUAGUCUCUGCUCCUCUCCAACUGAGUAUGAGGGAGAUGUUUCCUAUUAUCCUUGAUAAUGUGCCAUGAACAUAUGAAAAAACAUAGAAACAUGAAGAAAACAAGAAGACAAAAAUCACUAACAUCUGGUUGGCUGUAUAGAAACAAAGCUGAUUCUGGUCUCGCUCUAUACCCCAGGUUGGAGUGCAGUGGUAAGAUCACAGCUCACUGCUGCCUUGACUUCCUGGGCUCAAGUGAUUCUCCUGCCUCAGUCUCCUCAGUAGCUCGGACUACAGG